UAUGUGACAUAUCAUUCAAGUUUCUGACCUAUCAGCUUUAGACGGUAGGGUAUUGGCCUACCGUGGCUAUGACGGGUAACGGGGAAUUAGGGUUCGAUUCCGGAGAGGGAGCCUGAGAAACGGCUACCACAUCUAAGGAAGGCAGCAGGCGCGCAAAUUACCCAAUCCUAAUACAGGGAGGUAGUGACAAGAAAUAACAAUACAGAGCCUUACGGUUUUGUAAUUGGAAUGAGUUAAGUAUAAACCCCUUAACAAGUAUCAAUUGGAGGGCAAGUCUGGUGCCAGCAGCCGCGGUAAUUCCAGCUCCAAUAGCGUAUAUUAAAGUUGUUGCAGUUAAAAAGCUCGUAGUUAAUUUUCUGUUAAUUUUUAUAUACAAUGCUACGGUAUUUAUAUAAUAUUAACAUAAUUCAUAUUACUUUUUAAGUAUAUGAAACUUUACUUUGAGAAAAUUAGAGUGCUUAAAGCAGGCUAUUGCCUUGAAUACUCCAGCAUGGAAUAAUAUUAAGGAUUUUUAUUCUUCUUAUUGGUUCUAGAAUAAAAAUAAUGAUUAAUAGGGACAGUUGGGGGCAUUUGUAUUUAACAGUCAGAGGUGAAAUUCUUAGAUUUGUUAAAGACAAACUACUGCGAAAGCAUUUGCCAAGGAUGUUUUCAUUAAUCAAGAACGAAAGUUAGGGG
Molecule: ribosomal RNA, 675 nt
Filed under: Cryptosporidium ryanae
Lineage: Eukaryota; Apicomplexa; Conoidasida; Eucoccidiorida; Cryptosporidiidae
Description: SSU rRNA
Rfam family: Eukaryotic small subunit ribosomal RNA
Source: RNAcentral